GGGAAUGGGGCUCAGUGGCAGAGCGUUCACCUAGCAUGUGCAAGGCCCUGGGUUCAAUCCUUAGUACCACA
RNAcentral lists this transfer RNA (71 nucleotides) under Marmota monax (woodchuck). RNAcentral describes it as "tRNA.Ala". Lineage: Eukaryota; Metazoa; Chordata; Mammalia; Rodentia; Sciuridae. The record is from RNAcentral.